This 2776-nucleotide long non-coding RNA is filed under the name Homo sapiens (human). RNAcentral's name for it is "HSALNT0050952". The record is from RNAcentral. Lineage: Eukaryota; Metazoa; Chordata; Mammalia; Primates; Hominidae.
CCGCUCCGAGGGGCCCACCCGCGAGCAGCGGGGAAGGCGGGGACCCGGGCCCCGCGGGCCUGCAGCGCCCCCGCACCCGGUUCCACGCGCCCAGGGCCGCCCCCGCGGAGAGAGGGGGCGCGAGGGGCGCGCCUCUCGCUCGGACACCCUCUCCCAGCUCGCGCCCCAGGUAACUUAAACCCAAUUAUAAAUGGCUUUGGCUAUAAAGUGUUCUUGAAUGAAAACGUUUAGGAAGUAGGCCUGGAUUCAGAUGCUUCAGAGGCUCAAAGGUUUUCUAAUUGUUUAUGGAGAAGAUUGAUCUUCACAAGCUAGUUUUUUCAUAGGCAAAAGCAAAAGUCUCUUCCUGUGUUAUUAAGUGAAAAUGGCUGAUUAUAAAAAGGCCCUGGGUCAGGAGGUUGCCGAUUCCAGGAAGAAUCAGACCUUAUCCCUGCCCUUGAGUCUCAAGAAGAGGAAAGGAAAACAAAUAAGCAUAGUACAGUGUGAAAAGUGGGACUGUGGUCAAAUUUCAGUCUGCAAACUCAGAUCAUGAAAGAUAGUGUGGCUUCCACUUUGGUCUCUUAUAUCACCUACUGGGGGAAGCCAGCUGCCAUGUUGUGAGGACACUCAAGAAGCUCUGUGGAGAGGCUCUUUUGAAGGAGAACCAAUGCCUCCCACCAACAGCCAGCAUCAACUUGGGACAUGUGAGUGAACCAAUUGGAAGUGGAUCCUCCAGCCAAGUCAAGCCUUCAGAUGACUGAAGCCCCAGCCUCAUGAGAGAUAGCAGGCUAAAACUGCCCAGCUAAGCUGCUCCUGAAAUCCUGACCCCCCAAAUUAUAAAAGACAAUAAAUUAUUAUUGUUGUUUUAAGCCACUACAUGUUGGGGUGAUUCAUUAUGCAGCAACAGAUAAUAAAUACAUCACCCUUGUAUUCAUUACUGACGUUUAUUGGGAGCAUAGUGUGUGAUUUUUCAUUUAACCCUUCCAGUAAUGCUGUGAGAUAGGUAAGUUUAUUAUCCCCAUUUUACAGACAAAGAAACUGAGGUUCAGAAUGAGUGAAGUCUCUUCCCUGCAGAGUCCCUGACCUUAAGGAUUUUAUGGUCAGAUCUGAGAGACAGAAGCUCAAAAACCUAUGACUCUAGGCAAAAUAUGGCCCUGGGAUCCCAGGAUGGGGAGAGGAAUUUUGGAUUCUGGCUUCUACUUGGGCCUCAUAGCUUGGGAUGACAGAGGGUACACUCCAAAGGCAACAAACACCUUCCCUGCCCUUGAGCACCUGCUUAAUCAAGGGGAGAAAGUUCAGAUGCUUAUGCAUAAUGUGUGGUAUUUCUCUGCACAGAAACACACACGGGCCUGUACAGUAAUAAUGAAAAGCAACAACCCAUCUUAAGGGCUUGGCACUUUGCACUUACAAAGCCUUAUACAUCCCUAAUUCCAUGGAAUCACACCUGGCAGGUAAGCGUGGCCCUGUACACUUUACAGAUGGGGACACUGAGGUCAGGGAAGUUGUGUGAUUCUUGCAGAGCCAAGCAGCCUAGAAGUGGCAGAGUUCAGGUAAAACCCAGUAACUGGGUGUUUUACAAGUGCUAAGGGUAUGACAGGAGGUAGGCAGGGCUCCUCUGAGGGAGGUUUCAGGAAGAGGUCACCCGCGAGCAGGGUUCUGAGAAUGGGGAAGUGGCUUCGGGGAGAGGAUGGUGCCUGGGAGGGUUUGAGAGGAAACAGAGUGAGUCCCUAGGGGCUCCCAGGGUGUACGAGGGCAAAGAGGUGAACAUAGCUGGAGUGGAAAGAAUGAGAAAGCCUGGGUGUGUGGAAGAGCCUUGGUGUGUUAGGUGGAAUUGCAGCUGGAGGGUGUGUGCAGAAUGAGAGGUCUUGGUAUUGGGGCCAAAGUCAACUGCCACGCCUAAGGAGGGAGGAAGGCGCUUAUUUUGCUUCUUGGGUGAAAAUCAUUCCUGUGAUUUAGUUCUCCUUGGGGGAGGGGCGGGGUUUCAUCCAGCCUUAGCAAAUGCAUUCAAUCUUCACUACUUCUCUCUGUCAGAUGGGGUGGAUAGAGGUCCAAAUGUGGGCAGAAGCUUUUAUGUCCCAUCGCAGGGCAGCUAAGAACAGCUGCGCGGGUCGUUCACUGUACAUGGGCACUAGGCCAAAAGGGACUGAAAUCCGGACGGCCCUUUGUUUACUAAGCCAUGUGCCUGCAAGGCUGCACCUGCCCAGAAGGAAUGCUUCCUAUUUCUUUUCUUUAAAAAAAAAUUUUUUUUAUGAGCUAAAAUUCACAUAACAUAGAAUCUACCAUUUAAACCACUUUAAAGUAUAAAGUUCAGUGCUUUUAGUAUAGUCACAAUGUUGUGCAACCAUCACCACUAGCAGUUUUCGGAACAUUUCCAUCAUCCCAAAAAACAACUCCAUAACUCCUAAUUCCCCCCCUUUCCCCAUCUCUUGGCGACCAUGAAUCUGAACUUUCAUAUGAAUGGAGUUCUAUAAUUUGCUGUCUUCUGUGACUGUCUUCUUUCAUUUGGCAUUAAAACUUUUCAAGUUUUACCCAUGUUGUGGUAUGUGUCUGUACUUCAUUCCUUUUUAUGGCUCGAUAAUAUCGCAUUGUGUGAAUAUUCCACAAUUUGUGUAUCCCUUCAUGAGUUGAUGGACAUAUGGGUUAUAUCCACUGGCUGUUAAGAACAGGCGGGUCACGGUGGCUCACGCCUGAAAUCCCAGCACUUUGGGAGGCUGAGGUGGGCGGAUCACCUGAGGUCAGGAGUUCUAGAUCAGCUUUGCCAACACGGUGAAACCUUGUCUCUACCAAAUAUAUAAAAAUU